AACGAACGCUGGCGGCAGGCUUAACACAUGCAAGUCGAACGGGCACCUUCGGGUGUCAGUGGCAGACGGGUGAGUAACGCGUGGGAACGUACCCUUCGGUUCGGAAUAACCCAGGGAAACUUGGGCUAACACCGGAUACGUCCGCAAGGAGAAAGAUUUAUCGCCGAAGGAUCGGCCCGCGUCGGAUUAGCUAGUUGGUGGGUAAUGGCCCACCAAGGCGACGAUCCGUAGCUGGUCUGAGAGGAUGAUCAGCCACACUGGGACUGAGACACGGCCCAGACUCCUACGGGAGGCAGCAGUGGGGAAUAUUGGACAAUGGGCGAAAGCCUGAUCCAGCCAUGCCGCGUGAGUGAAGAAGGCCUUAGGGUUGUAAAGCUCUUUCAGCGGGAGAUAAUGACGGUACCCGCAGAAGAAGUCCCGGCUAACUUCGUGCCAGCCGCCGCAGUAAG
RNAcentral lists this ribosomal RNA (449 nucleotides) under uncultured bacterium. RNAcentral's name for it is "bacterial SSU rRNA". It matches the Rfam family "Bacterial small subunit ribosomal RNA", at positions 29 to 524 of the family's 1533-position model. The record is from RNAcentral.